AUGGGGCGGAAGCGCGCGGUGCUGGUGGGCAUCAACUACGCGGGCACCAAGGCGGAGCUCAAGGGCUGCCACAACGACGUGGCCCGCAUGCGCCGCUGCCUCGUCGACCGCUUCGGCUUCGAAGACGCCGGCAUCCGCGUCCUCUCCGACGCCGACCGGGCCGCGCCGCAGCAGCAGCCCACGGGCGCCAACAUCCGCCGCGAGCUCGCGCGCCUCGUCGCCGACGCGCGCCCCGGGGACUCCCUCUUCUUCCACUACAGCGGCCACGGCACGCGCCUGCCGGCCGAGACCGGCCAGGACGACGACACCGGCUUCGACGAGUGCAUCGUCCCCUCCGACAUGAACCUCAUCACAGACCAAGAUUUCACAGAGCUCGUGCAGAAAGUCCCAGAUGGCUGCCUGUUCACCAUAGUCUCUGACUCUUGCCACAGCGGUGGCCUGCUUGACAAGGCCAAGGAGCAGAUUGGCCACAGCACAAAGCAGAACAAGGCGCAGCAAGGCAAACGGGAAGAGCGGUCUGAUUCCGGCUCGGGCGGCUUCCGGUCGUUCCUCAAACAGACCGUCCGGGACGCGUUCGAGUCCCAAGGAGUCCACCUCCCUCGCCGCGGCGGCCAGCAGAGCAGCUACGACGACGACGACGCUGAGGCCGAGGCGCCGAGCCUGGACUCAGGCACAGACGGGCACGUGAAGAACCGGUCGCUGCCCCUCUCGACAUUCAUCGAGAUGCUCAAGGAGAAGACGGGGAAGGAGGACAUCGAGGUGGGGUCGAUCCGGAUGACGCUGUUCAACGUCUUCGGCGAGGACGCGAGCCCCAAGAUCAAGAAGUUCAUGAAGGUGAUGCUGGAGAAGCUGCAGCAGGGGCAGCACGGCGGCGUGGUGGGCCUGGUGGGCGCGCUGGCACAGGAGCUGCUGAGGGCCAAGCUGCAGGGCAAGCAGGAGGAGCUGAAGCCGGCCAUGGAGCAGGAGGUGCACGGCGUGGAGGAGGUGUACGCCGGGACGGCGGCGAGGGCGCCCCACAACGGCGUCCUCAUCAGCGGGUGCCAGACCGACCAGACCUCGGCGGACGCGACGACCGCCAAGGGCCUGUCCUACGGCGCGCUCAGCAACGCCAUCCAGGCCAUCCUCGCGGAGAAGGACGGCAAGGUGAGCAACAAGGAGCUGGUGCUGAGGGCGCGCGGGCUGCUGUCCAAGCAGGGGUACAAGCAGCAGCCUGGGCUCUACUGCAGCGACAGGCACACCGAGGUGGCUUUCAUAUGCUGA
Molecule: ribosomal RNA, 1260 nt
Filed under: Triticum aestivum (bread wheat)
Lineage: Eukaryota; Viridiplantae; Streptophyta; Magnoliopsida; Poales; Poaceae
Description: partial small subunit ribosomal RNA
Source: RNAcentral